Molecule: ribosomal RNA, 393 nt
Filed under: uncultured bacterium
Lineage: Bacteria
Description: partial 16S ribosomal RNA
Rfam family: Bacterial small subunit ribosomal RNA
Source: RNAcentral
AUACGGAGGACGCGAGCGUUAUCCGGAUUCAUUGGGUUUAAAGGGUGCGCAGGCGGCCGUGCAAGUCAGCGGUGAAAGCCCGGGGCUCAACCCCGGAAGUGCCGUUGAUACUGCAUGGCUGGAAUGCGGUCGAGGCGGGCGGGACGUGGCGGGUAGCGGUGAAAAGCGUAGAUAUGCCACAGAACGCCGAUAGCGGAGGCAGCCCGCCAGGCCUGCAUGGACGCUCGGGCACGAAAGCGGGGGGAUCGAACAGGAUUAGAUACCCUGGUAGUCCACGCCGUAAACGAUGGGCGCUCGUCGUCGGCGGCAGACAGUCGGCGGCCAAGCGAAAGCGAUAAGCGCCCCACCUGGGGAGUACGGUCGCAAGGCUGAAACUCAAAUGAAUUGGCGGGG